GACGAACGCUGGCGGCGUGCUUAACACAUGCAAGUCGAACGAUGAACCGGAGCUUGCUCCGGGGAUUAGUGGCGAACGGGUGAGUAACACGUGGGCAACCUGCCCCAGACAUCGGGAUAACCAUUCGAAAGGAUGGCUAAUACCGGAUAUGACCACUUCGGGCAUCCGAUGGUGGUGGAAAGGAUUCUGGUCUGGGAUGGGCCCGCGGCCUAUCAGCUAGUUGGUGGGGUAAUGGCCUACCAAGGCGACGACGGGUAGCCGGCCUGAGAGGGCGACCGGCCACACUGGGACUGAGACACGGCCCAGACUCCUACGGGAGGCAGCAGUGGGGAAUAUUGCGCAAUGGGCGAAAGCCUGACGCAGCGACGCCGCGUGAGGGACGAAGGUCUUCGGAUUGUAAACCUCUUUCAGCAGGGACGAAGCGAAAGUGACUGUACCUGCAGAAGAAGCACCGGCUAACUACGUGCCAGCAGCCGCGGUAAU
This 483-nucleotide ribosomal RNA is filed under the name uncultured bacterium. Its description in RNAcentral is "bacterial SSU rRNA". It matches the Rfam family "Bacterial small subunit ribosomal RNA", at positions 28 to 524 of the family's 1533-position model. The record is from RNAcentral.